RNAcentral lists this microRNA precursor (97 nucleotides) under Paramuricea clavata. Lineage: Eukaryota; Metazoa; Cnidaria; Anthozoa; Malacalcyonacea; Plexauridae. The record is from RNAcentral.
UACCUCAAAAUUCCGCCACAGUCUGUUUCAUCAGGCAGUAAAGAAUCAUCAGGCGCCUGAUGAUUCUUUACUGAUGAAACAGACUGUUGUGGAAUUU